This is a long non-coding RNA of Cornus florida, 858 nucleotides long. RefSeq lists it as uncharacterized. The record is from RefSeq and is a predicted model, not a curated record. Lineage: Eukaryota; Viridiplantae; Streptophyta; Magnoliopsida; Cornales; Cornaceae. The transcript has 3 exons.
AUACGGUGUCGUUGUAAACAAUUUCAUUACAUUCCUUUCCUCUUUUCGGGUUUCUUCACUUGCUGUGCUCCAUCAAACCCACAAGGCAGCUCGUCUUCUACAGAGUUAGGGUUUCGUCACUCUGUUAGUCUGUUGUGCUCCAUCAACAACCCACAAGGCAGCCAUUCUCCAGCAAUCAAUCUGUAAUGGCAUUUCUGCGCAAACUAAGCCUUCGACGCUUCAGUCUUCUCCCAGCUCGUCCAUUUUCAACCACCCCACCACAUCCUCCCUUUCCAGACUCCUUUUUUCACGGGGUCUAACCGAGUCCCAACAAGCCUUCCGGGAAGGGUUUGAACAAGGUUUUCAGCAUGGGUAUGGACAAGGCUUGAGCAAGGGUUCCGGAUCUGGGUUUUCCGGGUUAAAAUUUUCGGAUCUCGUUUUUGGAUUCACCAUCAUUGGGGUCCCCGUCUGUCUAUUGGGAUUAAGGCGAGCACAAUGGGAUGAGACAAUGCGGUCUUUGGAACUCUGGCACCAGGAAAUGAUUGAUGAUAUGAAAAGACUGGAAGGGAUUUUACUGAUGGGAGGUGGUAAGAAGGAUGCUGGCACAGCAACUCCCUCCCCUUCAAAGCAAGCUGGCGGCGAAUAUUCCUGAAAAAUUUGUCUUGAAAUCUUGUUUUGGUUUAAUAACUUGUUCUAGUAGAACUAACAUCUUCACUUUUAAAGUGCUGUAAAGUCUAAUUCAAAGGCCGAGCAUAGCGGCAAAUAGAGUUCGUUCUAGUUGACAUACAUUUGGGGUUUUUGAAAUUGUAUUAGUUAAAUGGAUUAAAUACUCUGCUUUCACGAGCAUAUGAAUGAUUAUAUUGUUACAUUCUCAAGCUC